GGGCAUCUGGUCUAGUGGUAUGAUUCUCGCUUUGGGUGCGAGAGGUCCCGAGUUCUCGAUUCUCGGAAUGCCCC
This is a non-coding RNA of Arabis alpina (gray rockcress), 74 nucleotides long. The record is from Rfam. Lineage: Eukaryota; Viridiplantae; Streptophyta; Magnoliopsida; Brassicales; Brassicaceae.